UCUAAUAUGGCAGAUUAGUGCAAUGAAUUUAAGCUUCAUAUAUAAAACAUAGUUUUUUUUAGAA
Molecule: transfer RNA, 64 nt
Filed under: Elateroidea sp. 1 KM-2017
Lineage: Eukaryota; Metazoa; Arthropoda; Insecta; Coleoptera
Description: tRNA-Leu
Source: RNAcentral